Molecule: ribosomal RNA, 165 nt
Filed under: uncultured bacterium
Lineage: Bacteria
Description: partial 16S ribosomal RNA
Rfam family: Bacterial small subunit ribosomal RNA
Source: RNAcentral
UAGGGAAUCUUCCACAAAUGGACGAAAGUCUGAUGGAGCAACGCCGCGUGAGUGAAGAAGGGUUUCGGCUCGUAAAACUCUGUUGUUAAAGAAGAACAUAUCUGAGAGUAACUGUUCAGGUAUUGACGGUAUUUAACCAGAAAGCCACGGCUAACUACGUGCCAA